GAGUUUGAUCAUGGCUCAGGAUGAACGCUAGCGGCAGGCUUAACACAUGCAAGUCGAGGGGUACUCUAGCAAUAGGAGAGACCGGCGCACGGGUGCGUAACGCGUAUGCAAUCUACCUUUCACAGAGGGAUAGCCCAGAGAAAUUUGGAUUAAUACCUCAUAGUAUUAUGGAAUGGCAUCAUUUUAUAAUUAAAGUCACAACGGUGAAAGAUGAGCAUGCGUCCCAUUAGCUAGUUGGUAAGGUAACGGCUUACCAAGGCGACGAUGGGUAGGGGUCCUGAGAGGGAGAUCCCCCACACUGGUACUGAGACACGGACCAGACUCCUACGGGAGGUAGCAGUGAGGAAUAUUGGACAAUGG
RNAcentral lists this ribosomal RNA (360 nucleotides) under uncultured bacterium. Its description in RNAcentral is "bacterial SSU rRNA". It matches the Rfam family "Bacterial small subunit ribosomal RNA", at positions 9 to 374 of the family's 1533-position model. The record is from RNAcentral.